This 492-nucleotide ribosomal RNA is filed under the name uncultured bacterium. RNAcentral's name for it is "partial 16S ribosomal RNA". It matches the Rfam family "Bacterial small subunit ribosomal RNA", at positions 29 to 507 of the family's 1533-position model. The record is from RNAcentral.
AGUGAACGCUGGCGGUAGGCCUAACACAUGCAAGUCGAACGGCAGCACAGUAAGAGCUUGCUCUUACGGGUGGCGAGUGGCGGACGGGUGAGGAAUACAUCGGAAUCUACUUUUUCGUGGGGGAUAACGUAGGGAAACUUACGCUAAUACCGCAUACGACCUACGGGUGAAAGCAGGGGAUCUUCGGACCUUGCGCGAUUGAAUGAGCCGAUGUCGGAUUAGCUAGUUGGCGGGGUAAAGGCCCACCAAGGCGACGAUCCGUAGCUGGUCUGAGAGGAUGAUCGGCCACACGGGAACUGAGACACGGUCCAGACUCCUACGGGAGGCAGCAGUGGGGAAUAUUGGACAAUGGGCGCAAGCCUGAUUCAGCCAUACCGCGUGGGUGAAGAAGGCCUUCGGGUUGUAAAGCCCUUUUGUUGGGAAAGAAAAGCAGCAGGUUAAUACCCCGCUGUUCUGACGGUACCCAAAGAAUAAGCACCGGCUAACUUCGUG